AUGCUGUUAUCCAGGAGGCCCAGUGGUUAAGAGUCUGGGAUGCAGCAGAUCUGGGUUCAAGUGCUCUUUUCUUGACUUCCUGCAUGACUUUGGGCUCCAGGGUAUGGCCAUUGCCUAUCCUGUGUCACCAUUAUCACAGAGCUAAGGCACUAGCAGCUCACCCAAAAAUGCCUUGGGUACUGGACUGGGAUUUGAGAUAAUCUGGCUUCUCCUGCACUGCCACUGAGCUACUUUGUGACUUGUGUGCCUGUGACAGUUGGAUCCCAGUCGUGGUUAGUUACUUUGUGUGCUACAUGGUACAAAUAAUGAAUAGGUAGCUGGACUGCUCAGCACAAGGCGCGUUGGUACUGAUGACGAGAAAGAGGAGAAUUAGUUCUUAUUCCGACUCUUCUGAAGAUCUCAAGCCUCUCAAAGGUGGGGCAUUAGUGAUGCCAUUUGAAGAUGGGGCAAACGUGGUGCAGAUGUGCGGGAUGACCUGCCCAGGAAUCCCUGACUAGGGGGCCGUGAGGAAAUUUGGAAUUUCCACUUAGUAUUUAUUUCACUACACAAGGC
Molecule: long non-coding RNA, 552 nt
Organism: Gavialis gangeticus (Gharial)
Lineage: Eukaryota; Metazoa; Chordata; Crocodylia; Gavialidae
Exons: 3
Source: RefSeq, a predicted model, not a curated record